UACGAAGGGGGCUAGCGUUGUUCGGAAUUACUGGGCGUAAAGCGCACGUAGGCGGAUAUUUAAGUCAGGGGUGAAAUCCCAGAGCUCAACUCUGGAACUGCCUUUGAUACUGGGUAUCUCGAGUAUGGAAGAGGUGAGUGGAAUUCCGAGUGUAGAGGUGAAAUUCGUAGAUAUUCGGAGGAACACCAGUGGCGAAGGCGGCUCACUGGUCCGGUACUGACGCUGAGGUGCGAAAGCGUGGGGAGCAAACAGG
RNAcentral lists this ribosomal RNA (253 nucleotides) under uncultured bacterium. RNAcentral describes it as "partial 16S ribosomal RNA". It matches the Rfam family "Bacterial small subunit ribosomal RNA", at positions 524 to 776 of the family's 1533-position model. The record is from RNAcentral.